GAUGAACGCUGGCGGCGUGCCUAAUACAUGCAAGUCGAGCGAACAGACGAGGAGCUUGCUCCUCUGACGUUUGCGGCGGACGGGUGAGUAACACGUGGAUAACCUACCUUUAAGACUGGGAUAACUUCGGGAAACCGGAGCUAAUACCGGAUAAUAUAUUGAACCGCAUGGUUCAAUAGUGAAAGACGGUUUUGCUGUCACUUAUAGAUGGAUCCGCGCCGCAUUAGCUAGUUGGUAAGGUAACGGCUUACCAAGGCGACGAUGCGUAGCCGACCUGAGAGGGUGAUCGGCCAAACUGGAACUGAGACACGGUCCAGACUCCUACGGGAGGCAGCAGUAGGGAAUCUUCCGCAAUGGGCGAAAGCCUGACGGAGCAACGCCGCGUGAGUGAUGAAGGUCCUCGGAUCGUAAAACUCUGUUAUUAGGGAAGAACAAAUGUGUAAGUAACUAUGCACGUCUUGACGGUACCUAAUCAGAAAGCCACGGCUAACUACGUG
Molecule: ribosomal RNA, 497 nt
Filed under: uncultured bacterium
Lineage: Bacteria
Description: partial 16S ribosomal RNA
Rfam family: Bacterial small subunit ribosomal RNA
Source: RNAcentral